This 22-nucleotide microRNA is filed under the name Bombyx mori (domestic silkworm). Lineage: Eukaryota; Metazoa; Arthropoda; Insecta; Lepidoptera; Bombycidae. The record is from RNAcentral.
UGACUAGCGAUACACUCCGGCU